RNAcentral lists this ribosomal RNA (232 nucleotides) under uncultured bacterium. RNAcentral's name for it is "partial 16S ribosomal RNA". It matches the Rfam family "Bacterial small subunit ribosomal RNA", at positions 16 to 240 of the family's 1533-position model. The record is from RNAcentral.
AUCAUGGUCAGGAUGAACGCUAGCUACAGGCUUAACACAUGCAAGUCGAGGGGCAGCAUGGUCUUAGCUUGCUAAGGCCGAUGGCGACCGGCGCACGGGUGAGUAACGCGUAUCCAACCUGCCUUACACUCUUGGACAGUCUUCUGAAAGGGAGAUUAAUACAAGAUGUUAUCAUGAGUAAGCAUUUUCGCAUGAUUAAAGGUUUACCGGUGUAAGAUGGGGAUGCGUUCCA